AUAUUCUCAUUUAAUAUUUUUACCAUUGGAUUAGCACAAACAACUAGUUCUUGAGCAUCUAAAGUAGACCCUUGGUGAGGGUUGGAUGAAAAAUUAAAAAAACUUGCUCGCUCUUUUUUUCUAAGUUCUUCUAUUCACUCCUAAAGUCUCUCCUACCAAAUUCUUUCUCGAUCUAUUUUUUUACUUUUUCAUUAUUUUUAACUACUAGAUUGAAACUCUGUCAUCCUCUCCAC
Molecule: long non-coding RNA, 233 nt
Filed under: Elaeis guineensis (African oil palm)
Lineage: Eukaryota; Viridiplantae; Streptophyta; Magnoliopsida; Arecales; Arecaceae
Description: long non-coding RNA (EGUI_LNC000243)
Source: RNAcentral